RNAcentral lists this ribosomal RNA (476 nucleotides) under uncultured bacterium. Its description in RNAcentral is "partial 16S ribosomal RNA". It matches the Rfam family "Bacterial small subunit ribosomal RNA", at positions 28 to 523 of the family's 1533-position model. The record is from RNAcentral.
GAUGAACGCUGGCGGCGUGCUUAACACAUGCAAGUCGAGCGAGUGAGUUCUUCGGAACGAUCUAGCGGCGGACGGGUGCGUAACACGUGGGCAACCUGCCACAUAGCGGGGGAUAGCAUCCUGAAAGGGAGAUUAAUACCGCACAAAAUUAUCGAGUGGCAUCACAUGACCAUCAAAGGAGUAAUCCGCUAUGAGAUGGGCCCGCGUCGCAUUAGCUAGUUGGUGAGGUAACGGCUCACCAAGGCGACGAUGCGUAGCCGACCUGAGAGGGUGAUCGGCCACAUUGGGACUGAGACACGGCCCAGACUCCUACGGGAGGCAGCAGUGGGGAAUAUUGCACAAUGGGGGAAACCCUGAUGCAGCAACGCCGCGUGAGUGAUGAAGGUCUUCGGAUUGUAAAGCUCUGUCUUUGGGGACGAUAAUGACGGUACCCAAGGAGGAAGCCACGGCUAACUACGUGCCAGCCGCCGCAGUAA